ACGCGACCUGGAUGAGGCGUCCCUCCGCCCUGAAGCCAGCUCCCAUCGUGUGUGCCUCGGGCCGCGCCCACGACCCCUGGCCGUGCAGCUGGAGCCCGGUCAGGACACCCCACCCCGCACCCCCGGAGGACCGUCGCCCGCCCCGGCCCCGCUGGGUGCAGUCUCCGCGCACCUGCCCGCCGCCCGCCUGCUGGUCUGGAGGUGAUGGGGAUGUCUGAGCUGUCUGUCCAGACUUCAUAAAAGUGAACCAUUUGAGUCCCUUGAAAAUGCAAGUGUCAGUUUUUGUCUGCAGGACUCGGAUUCCUGGAAGAGAGUACCAGGGAAAGCGCAACCGGCAACGAUUUAGCAAUCCGAAAUUUGGGGUGGAAACAGCAAAUGGUUAAUGGGAGUUCAGCCACAGGUUACACAGUGCUUUGAAGGCCUGAAGGGUAUCGAUGUCCACACCAAACCAAACCGUGGGCCAUGAGUACCAUUACCACCCGCAAGUCAGACGGAGACCCAGAGAAGUGCUGCAAGGUGCCACAAGAGCACAGCUAACAGCGCAGAAAGGACUGAGAUCCAAAUGCUGGGUUUUGCUUCACAGAUUACAAUACUGAUGCUAGAGCCCGAGGCAGUAAAGAAUUAGGAAUGAGAAUCAUCUCUACAUAUAAAGUCUGUGGUUACCACAUCUAACCUAGUUUGCUUGUCAAAGGACUUGCUCUUCUGGACAGAUGACUCUUCUGGUUAAACAUAAGGAGCAAAAAUGUACUUGAACGAGACUUCUUAUAGCUUCAAUCUGAAAACUGAGCAAUUUUUGGCCCUGAGAAGGAGGAAAAAAAAGAAGACUGAAAUUCUAUGGGCUUUUGCUCUAGACACUUAGCCUGAUCAUAAAAAUAUAAAGUUGCUUCAACAUAACCAAAUCUUUAACCUGGUGCUGGCCUUAAAACAAGUCACCUGUAGUCCCCCAGCUUAACAAACUGAGGGGAAACUGAGGCACAGAGAUGUCUAUGGAUUUGCUCAAGUUCACAGAGUAACCGAGCGACAGAACAGAGAUGUGAAGCCAAAUCUUCCUGGCCAGAGGUCUCUCCAGACGAUGCGGAGCACCUGUUCUGUGCCAAUGUUCUGUUGGGGACAUGAAAGUUACAAAGAGCACACACCCAGUGCUUAACAUGCACUUGAGAAGAUAAGAUACAGUCUUCCACACCCAAAUCAACCAGAAACAACUGAGUAAUAAUAUAAGGCUGUUUGCAAAGAUUAAAAAAACACUAGCAACAUAGUUAAGUGCUGUAAGUGUUCAGAGACAGGGAGGGAGAUAGUUUAGUUUUGAAGACAGAGAAAUGGUUUCAUGGACUCUAUCAGAACAGUAGAAUUGUUAACUUUUUACCUGGAAGCCAUUUCAGCCUUAAAAUAAUUACAAAUAUAAAGAUAGCACAAGGAACACUUGUGUACCCUUUCCUCAGACUCAGACUCACCUACUGUUAACAUUUUAUCCCAUUUGCUCUAACAUUUGUGCUGUUUUUUUUUCAUUCAUUCAUUCAUGUUACAUACACGUGAUUUAAUAAUAAUACCUGAAUAAUUUAAGGUGAGUUAUAUACAUUAUGGCCCAUAACCUCUAAGUACUUCAGUAUGUAUUUUUUAAGAUUAGGAACUUUCUCUUAAAUAACCAAAAUAGUUAUCAACUUCAUUAAUUAUAUUGAUAGGUAAUGCAUUUAUGUAAUCUAACAAUCUACAGCCCAUACUCCAAUCUUACCAGGUGAUCUAAUGGGAUUUUUAAAUCUUAGGGCAUUUUUCCCAGGACAGGAUCCAGUCUAGCAGGUGUCUUUAGCCUCGUCCAGUCCGGAACAUUUCCACAGCCUUUCUUUGGUUUUCAUGACCUUGACACUUCUGAAGACUAUAGUUCUAGCUCCCAUUAAUUUUUCUCUCUUUUUAGUACAAUAUUCCUCAUUUUAUGCUUACCUGAUGCUUCCUUUGUGGUUGGAUGGAGGUAAUACUGCAUAGGCGGUUUUGUAUUCUUUGUGUGUGAUAUCAGUCUCUCCCUCAUAGUCAUGUUCAUUUUGAUCACCCAGUCAAGUGGUUGUCCAAAAUGUCCACUCUAUAAUGCUUAUUUUUCUCCCUUAUAAUAAACAAUUUUACUUGAAAGUAACACGUGAAAACCGCAAAAAUAUCCUGCUCCUCAUCAAUACUUCCCUUAAACUUAACAGCCCCUGAAUUACUGGAGUCGAUCUUUAACAUCAUGGUUGCAAAAUGGGGUUUUCCAACUCCAGUACUCACAUUAUAUGUAGCGUUUGGCUUCUGCAUCCUGGUAUAAGAGUAAGCCCUCCCUCCUUCUCACCCAUCUAUUGAUUGCUUGAUUGAUAGGUUGAUCUUUCUCUUUCCUUCUUCCUUUCCCUCUUGUCUAUUAUAAUUUGGUAAUAAUUUUUUAUUUUUAAUUGGUUUAUAAUUCAUUAUUAUACUUAAUUAUUUUGGUGGAUGGAUUGUCCUGGUUUUGGCCAUGUUCCAACAUGGAAAAAAAGAAAAGUUUCAGAAUGCUAAAUAGGAAACGUUUAUGUGACUUUUACUUGAACAACAUCCUAAGUAAGUGAUCAGUAAAUUCUUGUUCCCUAUAUUGAAUCAGAGUUUUGUUCAUGAAAGGUGAAGAGUAAUAUUCAGAAUUAUUAGAAUAGUUUCUACAAGUAUCUUGAUUUAUUAUUUUUUUAAACUUUUAAAAGUUUUAUUUAUUCAUGAGAGGCACAGAGAGAGGCAGAGACA
Molecule: long non-coding RNA, 2727 nt
Organism: Canis lupus familiaris (dog)
Lineage: Eukaryota; Metazoa; Chordata; Mammalia; Carnivora; Canidae
Exons: 4
Source: RefSeq, a predicted model, not a curated record